UUAUGCAAACUUUAAAAUGAAAUCAUCAUGUCUGUCAUUACAAAAUAAACAAUAACGAUGUAAACUUUAGCUCGUAUAUGGCAGAAAUCUAGGAAACAAAUGUUUCUAACCUUUGAAGUCUGUUUCCUUAAAAUGGCCCUAACCCUAUUUGAAAAGAGUUGAAAAAUGUUAUUUUUGGUAGCCACAGUUAGCGGCGUAAAAAAUGAAAGCAACACAAUAUUGGCAUGAAGAGGCCAGGAUUUAGUUAGCAUGGCUGUGAGCAGUGUCUCCUGACCUGAUGGGAUGUGAAUGGGAUGUCAUUGUCCCCUACAGUUUAAAGUGGAAGAGUGCAUCAGUGGAGUAAGUUUUCCUUAGUUGCUGUUUAGUACUUGGAGACAACAUUACCUGCUUUUUGCUGCAAAAAAGAAUCUGAUAAUUGCUUGCGUGUAAUGGGUUGUCGUGAGACAGAAGGAAGGGCUUGUGAUUUGCUGAAAACACCUCAGCUGCAUAUUUAAAGUUCAAGCUUACAGUUAGCUCACUUUAUUUUUUACAUUUCUUUUUUUUCUAUCUUUUUUUUAAUUGCAGCCAUGAGCAAUACAGUGUGGCAUUGUCUAAAUUUACACCAAAUGCAAUACGAUUAAAAAGAACAAAACAAAAACAAACGUAAUGUUAAAUGUUAGCAUUCCUGUGCUUACUCGGUAGAUUCUGGUACACAGUGGACCAAACCGCGUCAUCAAAAAAAAAAAAAAAAAUGGCGACCUUCAUGGGUGAAAAAUAAAACAAAAGAUAGACCAUUUUUGAAGUAAUUAUGAGUUUCUGUGCAUCACAAACAGCAAUUUAUAAACAAAUAGGAGAAUGACAACAUUUCUAGGCCAACAUGUUCGACCAAUCGUGGAUCAAUACGGAGUCAUCACACAGCUGUACUGACAUCAGCAGAAGUCGAGUCAGGAUGCAGCAAAUACAACGACGUGAACCGAUGGCAGCAUGCCGCCAGCCUCACGCUGGCUGAGUAACAGCCUGUGCAUGGGGGGGAGACAACAACAACAACAGUCUUGUUAUGGUCCCUUCAUCCUAAGCUGAGGGCACAAAUGGCAGCUGCCAUGACACCGCCAGCAGGACAGGAGGGGUGGGGGGUUGGGGGCUGCCAGACACCAGGCAGCAGUAAACAAGUCGCACUCGCUCUCCACUUCCUACGUGUUCGAGUGCAAAGUUCUCCGGAGAUGUACAGGAAUGACACAGCUGAAACGGGAUGGAAGCAAAAGCGUGAAGGGUGGAAGGAGCAGCCCUACCUUCAGAGGAAGAGGGCGAGAGGAGCAGAUUCCAGGAGGGACAGGCGGGACGGGAGGCAGCAGCUACAGAGAGGGAGGCAGCUCCUCUACCCCCAUCAGCAACUCAACUGUCCACACCAGGAUGUGUGUGUGUCCAGCCAGAUGCAGACUGGCGAGUCCUUGUUGCUUGCUGGCAGCGCUGCAAGGUCACGAUUCUGUCUCUGCACCCAAAGAGUGACACAGCACCGAGACGGGCCUGCAUCCAGGAUUUAUGAUUCAGUCCUCUUUUCCCUGACUGGCGGUUGAAUCUGCUGUAAUUACGGAGACGAGCCGUGAUGAUGGCUCGUGUGACAUUGGAUUGCAGGAAAUUCUUUGCACACCUCUCUGUCAGUAAGGCUGGUUCUGGUCAGGAUGGAUGAACAAAAACCAGACGCCUUGACGUCUGAUCACACAGUAGAUUCCACCGAGGAAACCAAGCAGGUCUGCUAAAAGCUCGUCAGUGAAACACUUUGGUACACAGAACCUUUAUGGCCUUGUCUGGAAAAACAAUAAAAAUAUUAAAAUAUUGA
Long non-coding RNA from Poecilia latipinna (sailfin molly), 1816 nucleotides. RefSeq lists it as uncharacterized. The transcript is spliced from 2 exons. The record is from RefSeq and is a predicted model, not a curated record. Lineage: Eukaryota; Metazoa; Chordata; Actinopteri; Cyprinodontiformes; Poeciliidae.